RNAcentral lists this non-coding RNA (30 nucleotides) under Rattus norvegicus (Norway rat). Lineage: Eukaryota; Metazoa; Chordata; Mammalia; Rodentia; Muridae. The record is from RNAcentral.
UGAUUUCAGGCCUGAUCACUUAGUACUGGU